UACGAAGGGUGCAACCGUUGCUCGGAAUUAUUGGGCGUAAAGCGCACGUAGGCGGCUUUGAAAGUUGGAUGUGAAAUCCCUCGGCUCAACCAAGGAAGUGCAUCCAAAACUGCAAAGCUUGAGUACUUAAGAGGAUCGCGGAAUUCCCGGUGUAGAGGUGAAAUUCGUAGAUAUCGGGAGGAACACCAGUGGCGAAGGCGGCGAUCUGGGAAGAUACUGACGCUGAGGUGCGAAAGCGUGGGGAGCAAACAGG
This 253-nucleotide ribosomal RNA is filed under the name uncultured bacterium. RNAcentral describes it as "partial 16S ribosomal RNA". It matches the Rfam family "Bacterial small subunit ribosomal RNA", at positions 524 to 776 of the family's 1533-position model. The record is from RNAcentral.